AUUGUUGUUAAACUGGAAAACCUAUUGGAAAGCACUGAAAUUUUUUAAAUUUAGCUAAAUAACAUUUCAUUACAGCAUGCACUGAAUUGUACUUUUUUAUAUUUCAGGUUUUUCUUUGAUUUCAUUUUAUAUUCAACAGAUUGCUCUCAAUAUUGGUGGCUUGGUUUCAAGUGCGUGGAAUAGAAGAUUGCUAUACCUGUAGAUUUACAGCAAAAAAAUGGAUGAUGGGUUCUUCAGAUAUAACAUCCAAUUGUCUCUCCAGGGAGGAACAGAGAAUAGAAGAAUACUUCUGUAUUUUGACAUUAACACCCCACCUCAUCAGGUCUGCUGUGAGAAUCAGAUGAAAGUGUUGUGUUCUUGGAAAGACUCUACUGGAUUUUUUUUCCCAGAGAAAUUAAUCUAUUAAAUUCUGACAAUCUCUGACUGCUUGAUACCUAUAAUUGGAAUACCUAAGAUAAAUAAGGUGCCAGGACUGGGAUAUUACAGCAAAUAGAGAAAACCUGAGACUCUUUGUGCCUCUAUAUUCAUUUAUUUGAGACAUCUAUUAAAAAUACACUUUUCCAGGCAGAUACUAGGGAAUGUCCCACAAUAUUCUGGGACCAUUUCCUUUAUCGACCAAUUAGGCAAAGGUUUUUUAUUGAAAAUUGGCUUCUAGAUUCCCACUUUCUCUGAUACCAGGCCUACAAAAAUCAUGUCCCUACCAACAGAUGUUACCUGUUGCCCAAAUUUCCUUCUAAAAACAAUUGCUUUCUCAUUCACUGUUGAAAUGUCACACUUAACUUGAAAGUAAAGAUUAUGAUUGUGUUUGUUUUCCAUAGCUGCUGGGUAAUGAACCACUGACCACCACUUUUUAUUACAGAAAAUAUGCCUCACUUUGAGAUACUGGUUUUAUUUUAUAAUUUUUGGAAAAUGAAAAAUGUAUAAUUCACUUUUGAGGUCUAUUACUGAAAAAAUUUUUGCCAGGUAAUUAAUGGUGAAUGCCCUUGUGGUACAAAAAGUUGUUUUGAUGACUUACUAUCUCUUUACAAAGUAUUCUGUUGUUUCCUUUGCCAAAUACUCUAUCAUUUGAGAUACUGUAGUCUACAAAUUCCUUUAAUGAGCCAGACUCAAAAUGUGAAUCAAGUAUGCCAAAAGUGAACCCACGAGGACGCUACUCACUGUCGCCCCCCCUCCCUCUGGUGGAAGUCAGGAUAGACGGCUUGCUGUAAGUGAUACGUAUUUCUCUAACUUGACAGGAAAUCAUACAGAGAAGUUGUAAUAUUUUCUCUCCUUAUUCUGAUGGAUCAGUUUGCUCCAUCUUCUACCACUAUGCUCAUCACUGCCUCCCUGCCAUCAGACUCCCUCGUCCCAGGUGACAGCAGCUCAUUUGGGAGAGCACCAUUUAAAUAAUGCAUGCUGAUUGCAGAAAAACUUAACACAGAUAUGUGUUAAGGGAGAAAUUAAACAUAACCCAUAAUCCACCACCUCAAAAUAAACAUAAUUAACAUAGCUGAAAAUUUUUGUGC
This 1505-nucleotide long non-coding RNA is filed under the name Felis catus (domestic cat). Its description in RNAcentral is "lncRNA (ENSFCAG00000047457.1)". The record is from RNAcentral. Lineage: Eukaryota; Metazoa; Chordata; Mammalia; Carnivora; Felidae.